UGAAAAGAUCCUGGUAAGAGAAUUUAAAAAACAAAAUUUGUAUGUGUGUGUGUGCAUGUAUAUAUAUAUAUAUAUAUAUAUAUAUAUAUAUAUACAUGCACACACACACAUACAAAUUUUGUUUUUUAAAUUCUCUUACCAGGAUCUUUUCA
RNAcentral lists this microRNA precursor (152 nucleotides) under Marmota monax (woodchuck). The record is from RNAcentral. Lineage: Eukaryota; Metazoa; Chordata; Mammalia; Rodentia; Sciuridae.